Molecule: ribosomal RNA, 484 nt
Filed under: uncultured bacterium
Lineage: Bacteria
Description: partial 16S ribosomal RNA
Rfam family: Bacterial small subunit ribosomal RNA
Source: RNAcentral
AUUGAACGCUGGCGGCAGGCCUAACACAUGCAAGUCGAGCGGAUGAAGGGAGCUUGCUCCUGGAUUCAGCGGCGGACGGGUGAGUAAUGCCUAGGAAUCUGCCUGGUAGUGGGGGAUAACGUCCGGAAACGGGCGCUAAUUCCGCAUACGUCCUGAGGGAGAAAGUGGGGGAUCUUCGGACCUCACGCUAUCAGAUGAGCCUAGGUCGGAUUAGCUAGUUGGUGGGGUAAAGGCCUACCAAGGCGACGAUCCGUAACUGGUCUGAGAGGAUGAUCAGUCACACUGGAACUGAGACACGGUCCAGACUCCUACGGGAGGCAGCAGUGGGGAAUAUUGGACAAUGGGCGAAAGCCUGAUCCAGCCAUGCCGCGUGUGUGAAGAAGGUCUUCGGAUUGUAAAGCACUUUAAGUUGGGAGGAAGGGCAGUAAGUUAAUACCUUGCUGUUUUGACGUUACCAACAGAAUAAGCACCGGCUAACUUCGUG